Molecule: ribosomal RNA, 320 nt
Filed under: uncultured eukaryote
Lineage: Eukaryota
Description: partial 18S ribosomal RNA
Rfam family: Eukaryotic small subunit ribosomal RNA
Source: RNAcentral
CCCCUAGAUGUUCUGGGCCGCACGCGCGCUACACUGAACAGUUCAACAAGUCUUAACCUUGGCCGAUAGGUCUGGGUAAUCUUUGAACGCUGUUAGUGAUUGGGAUAGACCUUUGCAAUUAUGGGUCUUCAACGAGGAAUUCCUAGUAAACGCAAGUCAUCAGCUUGCAUUGAUUACGUCCCUGCCCUUUGUACACACCGCCCGUCGCACCUACCGAUUGAAUGGUCCGGUGAAAUCUCGGGACGGCGGCUUGGUCGCUUGCGUCCGACUGCUGAAACUUGAUUAAACCAUAUCAUUUAGAGGAAGGUGAAGUCGUAACA